Onychostoma macrolepis is the source of this 1428-nucleotide long non-coding RNA. RefSeq lists it as uncharacterized. The record is from RefSeq and is a predicted model, not a curated record. The transcript is spliced from 3 exons. NCBI's taxonomy places the organism in Eukaryota, Metazoa, Chordata, Actinopteri, Cypriniformes, Cyprinidae.
AUUCCUGCUAUUGGUUCCUUUGUUCAUUGUGUCAUGUUCUGAUUGGUUAUUCUCCUGUCAUGUGGUUUUCAGUUCUGAUUGCUCAUUGGUUGGUUCUUGUCAUGUGACCCUUAGUGUUUGCUAUAAGUAGCCAUCAUGUUGCCAUUGUCUCUCUUCAUGUAUUGAUGUUGUAACCUGCUGUUGGUGAGUCUAGUUUGUUUUAUGCCAAGUCAAAUCUGUUCAUCUCAGGUUUGUGCCAAGUCUGUUGAAGUCAAGUCAAGUCUGUUCAAGUCAAGUCUCUGUUUGGAUUAUGUUUGUGAAUAAACUGCAUGAAUUGCGUGAAUAAACUGCAUUAACAUGGGUUCUUCACUACACUCACCUCCAGUGGACUGAAUGUUACACAGAGAGCCUGUGAUGAGCCCAAAGCUGUGGGCCUCGCCUGGGCAAGCCCACACUGGGCCUGUUUAGGUUUGGUGUGGGCUGGCCCUAGCCCACUGUGCCCGCAAAAAGCCAGCAUGGGUCUCGCAAGGACAUGUUUGUAGGGUACGGCAGAAGCUGAAGUUGAACUUUUCAAGUGCCAAGACGGGCUUCUGCAAAUCAGCCUUAUGCAAAUACACUAGCGCAGAUGCUAGCCAAUUGCGUUCAUGCAACACCGGAAAAGUAAUGUGAUUGGCUGUUGCCACUUUGAUGGUCGAUGUCAGCACCAAGCUUCAGACAUACCCUCCGUCAAGUGUAGAUGCCGACUCCCCAUGUGAAUGUAUGUGAUUAAGUGACAUCUGAGGCAGUGAUUAAGUGACAUCUGAGGCAGUUGUGGUGUUCUAAUGGUUAAAUACCGGAACUGGUACUCCAAACAGAUGGACUCCAAACUGUAUAUCCCAGAAAGUGGACAGAAAUUUUUAACAAGACUAACUGUGGUGAAACAGAAGAGAAAUGGACCAGAACCUAUGUGUGGACAUUUUAAGCACAUAAGCAGCCAGGAUAAAUGAACUGAGAAAAAUGUAUUGGGAGCCAGCGCUGGACUAAGUUAGCAUCUCUGGCAUUGCUCCAGAUCCUCAUUAGACAUGGAGAACUGAGUUUGAGCAAACUGUGGUAUUUCACUAAAGGUUUAAGGAUAAGUUGUCUCUUUCAUUUAAUCUUUAGGGGAGGUUUGUAUGAUUUUUUUCAUAACACAGUCCUUUGUGCAGUUAAUUGGAAUAUGGCAUCACUACACGUGAGUCUUUCGCUCUUUCUGUAUUUUGGUUUGGCAUUUUUGAGCUUUCUCGACUUGUCGUUUUAAGUUUAUACAACAAAAAUUUGAGAAUCUCCCACAAAAAUAAGUUGAGCGAACUCAAACAUCUGCUGAAGCUGGUAAAACCAUUUUUUUUUAAGUAUGCUCUAAAAAUAAGUGGUUCAAAAUGGUUCAUUUAUUUGUGAAUCAGACUGGCCACAAUGUUAUUGUGUGCAACUUGU